Molecule: long non-coding RNA, 1544 nt
Organism: Culex quinquefasciatus (southern house mosquito)
Lineage: Eukaryota; Metazoa; Arthropoda; Insecta; Diptera; Culicidae
Exons: 3
Source: RefSeq, a predicted model, not a curated record
CGUACGUUUGUCGUACUUUCGACCAAUCGAUAUCGAAACGGUAAAAUCAAAACCGUGCGACAACUCGUGCGACGUGCGACAUUUUUCAAACAGGGUACUUAUGUAGCGACUUUGUGUCAGAAGAAUGCCAAACAACUUGGGUUUAAUGUUUCACCCCUUUUAAAAGGGCACUGAAGAAAUCAGUUUUUGAUGAGGUUCGGAAGAUUUAGUGUUUUUAUUCAUAAUAAUAUAAUAAAAUACGUACAACUUGCCAUGAAUUUGCUUAGAGAUAAAUAAAUACAUGAAUUGUCUUCCACCCGCUUAUUUCGGCGGGAGAAUUCGGCCCACCAGCAGGACAGUUUCCAAUUUCCAAUCGUUGGUGCGAUCUAUACGAGAAAGUGAGAAGGUUGUUGUUUUCUCGCACUCUCUCUUUCUCUCUCCUCUCAGAAUGAGAACAAUGUUGCCAGUUUGAUGGAAGUCAGCUUUGGACAGUGCAGUUGAAUAAGUGCUGAAUCGCAUUUGUAAAUGCUGUUGGGUGGCUAAUUAGCAAUGAAAUGCUAAUCUGUUGCCGAUUUAUGACUUUUUGCUAGUGCUGGAUGGUUACUUGGGUAAUCGGCAAGCCGAACAUUAUCUUUUUUUCAGGCAACAAGCAUCUUCCAAUCUGAUCUUGCCGGAAACCAUGCGCUUGCGUGUGGCCCGCGUGGCAUCCGUAGAACCCCCAAAAGCAGUUACGGCUACGGAAACACCCGCUCCACAAACCCACGUUGUCUCAUACUCCGGUGGCCAUAAAUCCGUCGGAUAUUGAAGAUUGGCGUCGCAUCCGGUUACAAUUUUUAUCAGCCUUGUAGAGGAGAAAAAGUCCAACACGACCAAGAUGCUGCCGGGCUGCCACAGAACACCAACAUCCAAGCCGGAAGCCUCGGACAAGGCAAAUCCCAUGUGAUAGUAUCCGAAAGAACCCAAGUCUGAUAAGAAUCGGUGAUUCGGAAUUAGUUAAAAAGUGAAGUGAAAAGUGAAAUUAUGCUUGCUUGAAUAAAAAAAAAUAAUAAAAACAAAACAAUAAUUUUUUUUUCGAGUGCAAUAACAAAAAAUCCGAAAUGACUGCACACGAUAAUAGCACGGCAUCCCUGUUUGAAAAAUGUCGCACGUCGUGCGAGCUGUCGCGCGGUUUUGAUUUUACCGUUUCGAUAUCGAUUGGUCGAAAGGACGACAAACGGACGACAAACACUCGACAUGCCCGACAUUGUUUUUUCCAUCGAUUUUCCUUCAAUUUGACGUCACGAUUUUCGUCGACGCAGUAUGACAGUUCUCUUCAGUUGGUCUUGUUUGGACUUGAUCAAAUCAGAGAAACUUUGAGCCGAAUCGAACCAGUUUACGUUGUUGAAAAGUUCGUGUGGAUUUUUGCCGGUUGAUUGAUUUCCUGAUUUCGGCCUUCGUGGUGGAGGAGGAGGAGAACGGGUCACAUCGUUGCUCCGGCGGGCCAUGCCGAAAGACGGAAAGGGAAGCACCCGGUCUGUGAUCGAGGAAGCAGAUUGGUGUUUAACUUUUCGCGGGAGGUGGCGGUG